AGAAAGAUAAGAUUUUACUGUUUUAGAAUAGGGAUGGGAUAUUUCUGCAAAGUUUUAUAAAAUGGUUUCAACACUGUCUUGUUUAAAGUUUUCUAAAACUGGACUAGAUGUCGAACCGAUUUUUCCUGGUUCGUGGUUAACCGGUUCAACUUUGAAUUCAUGGCAAUGUUCAGAAAAUGCCAUGAUUAAGUUUAGAAACUGAGAAAAUAGCCAGGGAAACAUCAGAAACAUCAGCUAGUGGUCACAAUUUGAGUGAGUGUGCUCAUCUUCAUUUGCAGAAAUAAUCAGCAAAUGAUGUGAUACAAGUAUACUUAAGAUCACGCUUCUAAAUUAUGAGUGCAAG
Molecule: unclassified non-coding RNA, 343 nt
Filed under: Hevea brasiliensis (rubber tree)
Lineage: Eukaryota; Viridiplantae; Streptophyta; Magnoliopsida; Malpighiales; Euphorbiaceae
Source: RNAcentral